Long non-coding RNA from Aethina tumida (small hive beetle), 878 nucleotides. RefSeq lists it as uncharacterized. The transcript has 6 exons. The record is from RefSeq and is a predicted model, not a curated record. NCBI's taxonomy places the organism in Eukaryota, Metazoa, Arthropoda, Insecta, Coleoptera, Nitidulidae.
UCAAGAACGUCUUAUUGUCCUUCCUCGUUUACCCCCUUUUGACUAUCAGCCGAUAUGUCAGUGUAUUUUUUUGCUGGCCCCUUCUAUAUUUUUUAGGCUAUAAAUAUACAUGGAGAGAUAUGAUAGUAGUUGGAUGGUCUAGCAUGUCAGACCUACUUCAAAUGGCACUUUUGCUAAUUGUUUCUGAUGAAUCCUGGUCCUGUAAAUUGGGAAGUAGUAGAAAAAUGGAUAGAAUUUAAUAGCUCACCAAAAAAAAAAGAUGCUGUGAAUGACGAGGAAGGUAACACGGCAAAGCCUAAGUCCACGUACAGUUAUGAACUUCUACUGAGGUAAUGCUCGAGUUACAUAUACUCCCAACUCAGAAGUAUUAGAAGCUUUAAAUGUACAUGGAGAGUUACCAGUUGUAGAAUUAACACCAAAUAUGAAUUUCAAAAUGAAUUCCGAGCACGUUAUUAUGAAAGAUUUUUCGUUUGGGGAGAUGGGUGUUCUAACUGGGCGACAUUAUAACUCAAGAGUAAUGGUAGAAACUCCGUGUAUGUGCUAUCUCUUACCUUUAGGAUGUUUUCAUACAAUUUUUGAGAACAAUUCGAGUCCCUAUAAUAACAUGGAAGCUGCUAUGUGGAAACAUGCGACAACUAUGAUUGCUUAUCAAUUACUGAUGGAGAGUCGAGCAUUUACGUCAACUAAAGAAGAAAUAUUUGAAUUAGUUGAUAGAGCUUUUAUUCCCAAUUUAAAAGAUUACAAAAUUUUUGUAGUGCAUAGUGAUAUAGAAGAACUUUUGUUAAUUGAAGGGAUAAUAUUAGAUAUCCCACGGAACAAAAUGUAUAUCGCUCCUUGUUGCAUUCCUAGAAAUGUAGAAAAAAUUGCUUUAUCCAAAA